UCCUUUAGCAUCUCUAAAAGCUUUAGAUUACCUUACUAAAUGUUGCUUUUCUCGAAAAUUGGACUUAUGGCUAAGAUGUUAAUGCAUAAAAAUUGAAUCAAAUAUUCUCCGGGUUUCAAGAAGGAAGGCGGCUGAAUCAGAAAUGAAGAAUUCCAAUUUUGCCGCUGUACCAGAAAAAAGGUUUCUACUCUACAUGAAAUCUUUUGACCCUUCAUUCAGGAGCAUUGGUUGAUACUGUGUUAGAAAUGAACCAGGCAUUUGAGUCUGAAAGGGACAAAUAUAUUUGCCGAAAAUCUCAAAUCUACCGCCACCUUAUAUAGAAAUUUCACUUGAUGAAAAAUUGAAGGGAUUUAAUGAAAGUAUUAUACAAAGUCCAUUGCGCCAUACUGUGCUCCAUUCAGAUGAAUAAUCCAAGUGCAUUGUUAUGGAAUUCCUGUCACCUUGUCCUAAAGUACAGAUAUCAGCGAAUAACAUGGCAUCUGCUCUACAAUUGAUGGCAUUUGCACAAGAUCUGAACUGGAAAAUUGGGCUGCAGUGUGAUUAAUAUAACUAGGUAAUGAAGUUGUUAAAUCAAAAUUGGUAUUGCUGUUACAUUGCACUUGUUACAUUGUUUAUUUGAAGUAUAUAAAUAUCAAUUACUGAUGUUUACCAACCAUUUAAAUCCAUUGUCGGAGAUGCUCAGACUUCUCAACAAUUGUAUACCAUGAAAUUGCAGUUUGGCAAUUUUUCAGUUUUUCGCAUUUAAAUAUUCCAAUUUGUGCAGGAAAAAGUUGUAGUAUUAGAUCAGUUGACUGACAAAUAAAACGGGCAAGUUUUGUUUUAAUUAGUCACUUAUAGAAUUCAUGAUAUCGAAAUUCAAUUGUUGUAUAAAUUUAUUUCACGUAAUUACCUGCAUUUUCGAAUGUAAACAAAUUAUCAAGCAACUUCAGAUAACAGUAUGUGCUGAUUCUAAAAUGAGGAUAGUUUAAAAAUUGGUUGCAACUGAUGUUAACCUAUUCUUCUAAGCAAUAGAAUUCGUAUUUCCGAUUUUUCAUGUUGAAUCCAAAAACAUAAUAUAAACGUAACAUUCCACAAAUUCGAAAAAUCUUAUUCUCUUGAAAGCCAACAUUUGUAUCACACCAAAAUAUUUAAAAUUCCUUUCAUGCAGCAUAGUUUAUCCUUUACCGUUUUUCCAGCUUGAUGACACAAAUCAUUUACUGCUUUGAUUCUUUAACCUUCCUCUAAGGGGAAAAUGCCUCGAAUGAGACUUUGCUAUGGUUCUAUUAUGCAGGUCGAGACAUUAUCGAUUUUGCAAAUGUUCCAAUACUUGGCUUCAGAUGCAUUGAAAUUUCUCUUGCUAUUUGAAUAUUUAAAUAGUCGAAUGUUUAUAUUCACGCCAUUUAGCUGCUUUCCAAGGCUGGCUUGGGGCAUUUUUUAACAAUCGAGCAUGAUCUUAUGCUUUGAACAUUGUCAAUACUUAAAACAGUUUCGGGUCUCGCAAGAAAGCGGACUUAUCGCCUUGUUUUGUCGGAACGAAAGCUGUUUUGGCCCUCGAUAGCUCAGUUUUAGAAAACUCAUUCACAUAAUGAAACACAAACUCUUGGACUGUAUCCCCAUUACUUUAUUCUCAACACUCACAACACACUCUCUGUGGUAUUCACACUCUAAAAAGUUAUAUCAUUUCACCACUGGGUGGCGCUAC
Molecule: long non-coding RNA, 1681 nt
Organism: Argiope bruennichi
Lineage: Eukaryota; Metazoa; Arthropoda; Arachnida; Araneae; Araneidae
Exons: 3
Source: RefSeq, a predicted model, not a curated record